RNAcentral lists this ribosomal RNA (982 nucleotides) under uncultured Verrucomicrobiota bacterium. RNAcentral describes it as "bacterial SSU rRNA". It matches the Rfam family "Bacterial small subunit ribosomal RNA", at positions 364 to 1336 of the family's 1533-position model. Lineage: Bacteria; Pseudomonadati; Verrucomicrobiota. The record is from RNAcentral.
UUUCUCAAUGGGCGCAAGCUGAAGGAGCGACGCCGCGUGGAGGAUGAAGGUCUUCGGAUCGUAAACUCCUGUCAUUUGGGAACAAAACUUCGGUUUAACUGACCGGAGCUUGAUAGUACCAGAAGAGGAAGGGACGGCUAACUCUGUGCCAGCAGCCGCGGUAAUACAGAGGUCUCAACCGUUGUUCGGAUUCAUUGGGCGUAAAGGGUGCGUAGGCGGUCGCGCAAGUCGGAUGUGAAAUCUCAGGGCUCAACCCUGAAACUGCAUUCGAUACUGCGCGGCUAGAGUGCUGGAGGGGAGACUGGAAUUHACGGUGUAGCAGUGAAAUGCGUAGAUAUCGUAAGGAAGACCAGUGGCGAAGGCGAGUCUCUGGACAGCAACUGACGCUGAGGCACGAAGGCCAGGGGAGCAAACGGGAUUAGAUACCCCGGUAGUCCUGGCAGUAAACGGUGCACGUUUGGUGUAAGCGGAUUCGACCCCGCUUGUGCCGGAGCUAACGCGUUAAACGUGCCGCCUGGGAAGUACGGUCGCAAGAUUAAAACUCAAAGAAAUUGACGGGGGCCCGCACAAGCGGUGGAGUAUGUGGCUUAAUUCGAUGCAACGCGAAGAACCUUACCAGGGUUUGACAUGUAUUGUAACCCCAGUGAAAGCUGGGUAGCUGGGUUAAACCAGCGCUUUACACAGGUGCUGCAUGGCUGUCGUCAGCUCGUGUCGUGAGAUGUUGGGUUAAGUCCCGCAACGAGCGCAACCCCUGUGUCCUGCUGCCACUCCUUCAUUGGAAGCACUCUGGACAGACUGCCCUGUGAAACGGGGAGGAAGGUGGGGAUGACGUCAAGUCAGCAUGGCCCUUACACCCUGGGCUGCACACGUACUACAAUGCUCAGUACAAUACGAGCCGAAGCCGCGAGGCAGAGGAAAUCUCGAAAACUGAGCCCAAUUCGGAUCGCAGGCUGCAACUCGCCUGCGUGAAGCCGGAAUCGCU